UAGAUUUUAAAAGCAUAAGUAUUGUAUCCUUGUUAGAAGAUAUAAUGACAAAGACUCAUAUGGACUUCGGGUACACCAUGAAAGCUUUGGGAAGCAAUAAGAAGCUUGGUUAGUGUUUUGGAGUGAAAUAUGACUAGAUGUCAUGUGUAUGAGUGCGUAUAACAACUAGAAUUGCAACCAGAUCUUAAAAGCCUAAGUAUUGUAUUCUUGUUAGAAGAUACAAAGACGAAGACUCAUACGGACUUCGGCUACACAAUCAAAGCUUUGAGU
Molecule: small RNA, 270 nt
Filed under: Arabidopsis thaliana (thale cress)
Lineage: Eukaryota; Viridiplantae; Streptophyta; Magnoliopsida; Brassicales; Brassicaceae
Description: ATSL270500
Source: RNAcentral